RNAcentral lists this non-coding RNA (203 nucleotides) under Hylobates lar (common gibbon). Lineage: Eukaryota; Metazoa; Chordata; Mammalia; Primates; Hylobatidae. The record is from RNAcentral.
GGCCGGGCGCGGUGGCUCACGCCUGUAAUCCCAGCUCUCAGGGAGGCAAGAGGCGGGAGGAUAGCUUGAGCCCAGGAGUUCGAGACCUGCCUGGGCAAUAUAGCGAGACCCCGUUCUCCCGAAAAAGAAAAAAAAAAAAAAAAAAAAAAGACAAAAAAAAAAUAAGCGUAACUCCCCUCAAAGCAACAACCCCCCCCCCCUUU